GAUGAAGACGUAGUGAAAUGCGAUACGUAAUGUGAAUUGCAAAUUCAGUGAAUCAUCGAGUCUUUGAACGCACAUUGCGCCCCCUGGUAUUCCGGGGGGCAUGCCUGUCCGAGCGUCAUUGCUGCCCUCAAGCACGGCUUGUGUGUUGGGCCCCGUCCUCCGAUCCCGGGGGACGGGCCCGAAAGGCAGCGGCGGCACCGCGUCCGGUCCUCGAGCGUAUGGGGCUUUGUCACCCGCUCUGUAGGCCCGGCCGGCGCUUGCCGAUCAACCCAAAUUUUUUAUCCAGGUUGACCUCGGAUCAGGUAGGGAUACCCGCUGAACUUAAGCAUAUCAAUAAGCGGAGGA
This 345-nucleotide unclassified non-coding RNA is filed under the name soil metagenome. Its description in RNAcentral is "partial contains 5.8S ribosomal RNA, internal transcribed spacer 2, and large subunit ribosomal RNA". The stretch from base 1 to 118 matches the Rfam family "5.8S ribosomal RNA", at positions 35 to 154 of the family's 154-position model. The record is from RNAcentral.